RNAcentral lists this long non-coding RNA (1345 nucleotides) under Gallus gallus (chicken). RNAcentral describes it as "lncRNA (ENSGALG00010000880.1)". Lineage: Eukaryota; Metazoa; Chordata; Aves; Galliformes; Phasianidae. The record is from RNAcentral.
GUGGUCCCAAAGCAGCUUUCUUGCAAGGACAUGCAGUGUCCCAAAGGGAGCUCAUGUAGGAUGACAGAUGGAUGGCCCCACUGUGUGCAGAACCAGCCGUCCUGUCAUGAUAUCCAAUGUCAGAAGGGAACGGAGUGCCAGAUGGUGAAUGGUUGGCUUCAGUGUGUCCAAAUCAAGACCUCUGUCAGGAGACCCACCUGUAGUGAUGUUCGGUGCUCCAAGGGGACGGUGUGUCAGAUGGUGGAUGGAUGGCCUCAGUGUCUUCAACCCAAGGUGGCCCCAAAGCAGCCUUCUUGCAACGACAUGCAGUGUCCCAAAGGGACCUCAUGUAGGGUAAGAGAUGGAUGGCCCCACUGUGUGCAGAACCAGCCCUCCUGCCAGGAUGUUCAUUGUCAGAAGGGAACGGAGUGUCUGAUGGUGAAUGGUUGGCCUCAGUGUGUCCAGAUGAAGACUUCCAUCAGGAGACCCACCUGUAGUGACGUUCGGUGCUCCAAAGGUUCAGUGUGUGAGAUGGUGGAUGGAUGGCCUCAGUGUGUCGAACUCAAGGUGGUCCCAAGGCAGCCUUCUUGCAAGGACAUGCAGUGUCCCAAGGGGUCCUCAUGUAGGAUGACAGAUGGGUGGCCCCAUUGUGUUCAGAACCAGCCCUCCUGCCAGGAUGUCCAGUGUCAGAUGGGAACCGUGUGCCAGAUGGUGGAUGGAUGGCCUCAUUGUGUCCAAAUCAAGACCUCUAUCAGGAGACCCACCUGUAGUGAUGUUCGGUGCUCCAAGGGGACAGUGUGUGAGAUGGUGGAUGGAUGGCCUCAAUGUUUGCAACCCAAGGUGGCCCCAAGGCAGCCUUCUUGCAAGGACAUGCAGUGUCCCAAAGGGACGUCGUGUAGGAUGACAGAUGGGUGGCCCCACUGUGUGCAGAACCAGCCCUCAUGCCAGGACGUCCAAUGUCAGAAGGGAACCGUGUGCCAGAUGGUCAAUGGUUGGCCCCAGUGUGUCCAGACGAAGACUUCCAUCAGGAGACCCACCUGUAGUGACCUACGGUGUUCCAAAGGUUCAGCGUGUGAGACGGUGGAUGGUUGGCCUCAGUGUGUUCAACCCAAGGUGGUCCCAAGGCAGCCUUCUUGCAAGGACAUGCAGUGUCCCAAAGGGACGUCGUGUAGGAUAAGAGAUGGGUGGCCCCACUGUGUGCAGAACCAGCCCUCCUGCCAGGAUGUCCAAUGCCAAAAGGGAACCGUGUGCCAGAUGGUCAAUGGUUGGCCCCAGUGUGUCCAGACGAAGAGUUCCAUCAGGAGACCCACCUGCAGUGACGUUCGGUGCUCCAAGGGGAUGGUGUGUCAGAUAGUGGAUGGAUGGC